This is a long non-coding RNA of Sinocyclocheilus grahami, 858 nucleotides long. RefSeq lists it as uncharacterized. Lineage: Eukaryota; Metazoa; Chordata; Actinopteri; Cypriniformes; Cyprinidae. The record is from RefSeq and is a predicted model, not a curated record. The transcript is spliced from 3 exons.
UCCUCGGUAACCCGCUAUUGUUGCCAUGGCAUUUUUUUUUUGUUUUGUCAGUAAUCCUCCAGAAUGUUUUGAAGUCUGGCUGAAGAUUCGUGGUCUUGCUGGAUUUUGUAAACUGGUGAAAAUGGAUUCACUCAUCUAACCAGAGGGCCAUAACAACGACAAUACAACAGAGACAUUGUUCUGGACUAUCUUCAAAAGACCCCAACUAUUAAGCCACGCUCUGGGAUAAAGUGCAAUACAUGGAAAGGUUCGUCACUGAACAAAAACACUGUCCAACAGGCACAGACUGAAGUGAAAAAUUAAUCAGUGUGAUACACUGAUCAUUCACAAGGGGCUGCUGUAUCUUCGCCAAACGCUCGGAGAAGCCCGCCAUCUCUGUUCUCCCACAGGAUGGACAUCCCGCCUUGUCUUAAGAAACAGCAGUGAGGAAGGAGACAAAAGUGGAUGAAGCUUUAAAGGAUAGCCUGUGUGGACCCCAGCUUGCCAAACGUUGGGGCUCGUGGACUGUUCCCUGCUCCUCCACGCUUCUGGGAGGAGGUGCCUUCAAAAAACACCCCCCUCGUCCAGCCUCCGGGCCCUGAUUUCCCCCUGGCUAGACGGCCCCAGCGCACCACUUGCCUUUUCUGUGUCAGUAUUCCGUCUCUUUACCAAAAGAAGGUGGACUCCUGUAUUGAUGUGCUGUUUCUGCUGCUAAAUGUAAGACUCUAAACUCCACAUAAGUGCUCCUACAUGCUCCCACCGCCAUAGCCCAGCAGUGUGGAGGGCUGUGCUAGUUAUGCUAGCUCCAUCAGUUGUCAUGUGUCGUCAGGCUGUCAUGUCGUCUUUGACGUUGCUGUAUAAACUGAUAUCAACACAUGA